Molecule: long non-coding RNA, 2090 nt
Filed under: Canis lupus familiaris (dog)
Lineage: Eukaryota; Metazoa; Chordata; Mammalia; Carnivora; Canidae
Description: lncRNA (ENSCAFG00805000480.1, ENSCAFG00845013147.1)
Source: RNAcentral
GAAACUGAGAGAAGUUUAUUAUUCACGGGGUCCUGGGGUGGGGGGAGUACACAACAGGCCUCAAGGGGCCACACAAGGACGUCAAGGCAGAAAGCAGAGAGAGACUGGACCCGCGGCACAUGUCUUUAUUAGAGUCCCCGGGCUAGGACCACACUGGUCAAUUCAAACCAGAAAAGCAGGGUUUAGGUAAGCUCCACAGGGGUCUUGGCUAAGGAGCACAUAAGGCGGACAGGUGCUGAUAAGCAGGGGAGACGGCACUCACGAGCAUGGGGGGAAAAGCCACAUGGGGACCUGACAUUCGCUUGUGGCUCUGCAGCUGCCAUCUGGGGGCCACCAUGAGUCAGGUCCCCACAGACUGCUCAGCCAGACCACGCAGGUGCAGAGCAGUGAUACUAUCAAGUAGCUCAGCAGCUCUCGACAGGUGUGUGUCUACCACGCAGAUUUACGGCUCAUCCACCUGGGCACAUACUGUGCCGCCUGAAUCUACGAGUGCAUGUGUCUUGUCAGACUUGAGCCGUGUUUUCUCUGAAUACUUUUCUUCCUCUAUUUUGUCUUUUGGGAACUCCUGCUGGCUCUUCUCACUUUAAGUGCCUCUCUGUAGACUGAAUCCUAUGACUUUGCUUCGCUCUACUUUUCUGUUCCUUCUCUCUGCAGCUGAGUAUUGUGAUGUUCACAUCGCAAUGCCAGUACUCAUUUCUACACUCUGUGGGGUCCCCUUUCCAAAGAAACCCAUUAUCUGUCUUUGUGCCUUGCUUUCACGUGGUUUCAACUUUUUGUUUUUAAUCAUUUGUGAAGGGAGCUAUUGUUAUAGAGGUUCAUGUGUUUCUAUGACCCUAAAAUCCUGGAUGUUAUUUUGUUCAUGUGUUCGCUGACUCCCGUGGCAGCCCGGUUCCUCAUGCUUUGUAGUUUUGGAUUAUGAACUCAUGUUGGGUUUGUCCAUCAGAAUCCUGGUGGACAUGGGUUGAGGGUGUCUCCCUCUAAAAGGUAUUUUGUUUGCUUCUGUCAUUUGUUCCAAAGACAGGGCCAAUUUCUCUAUUCACUGGUCAGUUUUAAAACUGGGACAGGAAUAGGGUGAAUUCCAAACUCUGACUCACAUGGGGUGGUCAGGGCUGAUGAGUCAUCAGGGCAAAUCUUCCCCCAUCAGAGCCCAUGGAGAGAAAGACAAGCUUCCCACCCAAGUGAGAUUUUGCUGCUAGUCCACCCUUUUCCUGUACAGAGCGACUUCUGAAAUCUCUGAAUUUGUAAGUUACUUCAGUACCCACGGUCUGCCUCACAUGCCCCAAGGCCUUGCUUCAUGUCCUCCUUUGGUCUUGAACACCCAAGCUUUGGGGUCAACCAAGUUACAACCACAGGGCAGCUCCAGCUUCAGCCCCUAAACUUAAUCUUUGGCUCUCAGUUCAGUUCAGCUCUCUGACACCUGGUAACGCCAUUCUUGCCAGCUGAACUAUGCAUUUAUUUAUUUAUUUAUUUAUUUAUUUAUUUUUAAUAAAUUUAUUUUUUAUUGGUGGUCAAUUUGAACUAUGCAUUUAAAAGAAUGUUCUCUAUUAUUUGUCAUUUCUGAUAAAAUGGCUUUCACCUUGGGUGGUCUGAUAUAUUGCCAGAAAAGGGAGUUCUAACCUUACACAUUUAAUAUGAAACCUAAUUGUGAACUAGACGAUGGAGAGGUGAUGAGAUGUCAUGAACCUGCUGGUUUCCAGAUCCGGGGGUAGGGGGCCCUGUAAUGCUUGCCAGCAAACAAACAAACAAAAAUAAAUGAGAUGUUGGUAUGGUGUCUGGACUCCUGGCUUAAGAAUAAACUCCUACUUUUCUAGGUAUAAUGUACAUUAUGAAGACAAAAGGGUGUGAUUUAGGGGAGUCUGACAGCUGUCAUUCUGUAUAUUCUGGUGUGUGUGCCCACAGGCUCACACUUAUGUUUAAUUAGCGAUGCAGUUUAAAAAUAAAGCAGAUUCUUUCUAUGCAGCAUGCUCAGGGACGUAAGCCCUCUUUGUGCCCUGGGACUGUUCUGAUGUUUAUUAGAUCUGUUGUCUUAAUGAUUUACUUUAUUCACGGACUUCAAAGCUCAUUAGCCACAGGUAAUUCAGAUAGAUUUU